RNAcentral lists this ribosomal RNA (340 nucleotides) under uncultured bacterium. RNAcentral's name for it is "bacterial SSU rRNA". It matches the Rfam family "Bacterial small subunit ribosomal RNA", at positions 29 to 351 of the family's 1533-position model. The record is from RNAcentral.
AACGAACGCUAGCGGCGUGCCUAACACAUGCAAGUCGCACGAGAAAUCCCGGGCAACUGGGAGAGUAAAGUGGCGCACGGGUGAGUAGCGCGUGGGUAAUCUACCCUGAAGUUGGGAAUAACACCUCGAAAGGGGUGCUAAUACCCAAUAACGUCCCCGAGACCCGGUCUUGAGGACCAAAGAUGGCUGAGGCUUGCAAGCUAUUGCUUUAGGAUGAGCCCGCGUCCCAUUAGCUAGUUGGCGGGGUAACGGCCCACCAAGGCGACGAUGGGUAGCUGGUCUGAGAGGAUGAUCAGCCACACUGGAACUGAGACACGGUCCAGACUCCUACGGGAGGCAG